CCUCUCUAUCUUUCUCUCUCCAACCUCUGAUUUGAUCAGUCGGUUUUCUUUUUCGAUUUUCAUCGAAAUGCCUUCCAAUCAUUUGCUUCUCGAGGAGCCUAUAAGGAUGGCUUCAAUUCUGGAGCCAUCAAAACCAACUUUUUUUCCUGCGAUGACAAAGAUUGUUGGGACACUUGGUCCAAAAUCACGGACUGUUGAGAUCAUUUCUAGUUGUCUAAGCUCCGGGAUGUCUGUGGCACGGUUUGACUUUUCAUGGGGUGAUGCUGAAUAUCAUCAAGAGACAUUGGAAAAUCUGAAAGCUGCAAUCAAGAGCACCAAGAAGCUCUGUGCGGUCAUGCUAGAUACAGUGGGUCCAGAGUUGCAAGUUGUCAAUACAACAGAGCAUCCAAUUUCCCUUCAGGCUGAUACCUCUGUUGUCCUAACACCUGAUCAAGGCAAAGAAGCCACUUCAAAUCUGCUACCAAUAAAUUUUACUGGCCUGUCAAAGGCAGUGAAGCAGGGAGAUACUAUUUUUAUUGGUCAAUACCUGUUUACAGGAAGUGAAACUACUUCUGUGUGGCUAGAGGUCAUUGAAGUAAAUGGUGAGGACGUGGUUUGUUUGAUAAAGAAUUCUGCUACCUUGGGUGGGCCAUUGUACACUUUACAUGUUUCUCAAAUUCGUAUUGAGCUUCCUACCCUCACUGAUAAAGAUAAGGAGGUCAUAAGUACAUGGGGAGUUCGGAACAAUAUAGACUUCCUCUCAUUGUCUUAUACUCGGCAUGCAGAAGAUAUUCGCCAUGCCCGAGAGUUUCUUUCUAAACUUGGGGAUCUCCAUCAAACUCAAAUUUUUGCAAAAAUUGAAAAUAUAGAGGGAUUAACUCAUUUUGAUGAAAUCC
RNAcentral lists this unclassified non-coding RNA (875 nucleotides) under Hevea brasiliensis (rubber tree). Lineage: Eukaryota; Viridiplantae; Streptophyta; Magnoliopsida; Malpighiales; Euphorbiaceae. The record is from RNAcentral.